UACGGAGGGUGCAAACGUUAUCCGGAAUCACUGGGCGUAAAGAGCAUGUAGGUGGUUUGGUAAGUGGACGAUUAAAGACCAGUGCUUAACACUGGGAAUGUUGUCUAUACUGCCUUACUUGAGGAAGACAGGGGUAAGCGGAACUUUAGGUGUAGGGGUGAAAUCCGUAGAUAUCUAAAGGAACACCAAUGGCGAAGGCAGCUUACUGGGUCUUAUCUGACACUGAGAUGCGAAAGCGUGGGGAGCGAACGGG
RNAcentral lists this ribosomal RNA (253 nucleotides) under uncultured bacterium. RNAcentral's name for it is "partial 16S ribosomal RNA". It matches the Rfam family "Bacterial small subunit ribosomal RNA", at positions 524 to 776 of the family's 1533-position model. The record is from RNAcentral.